RNAcentral lists this unclassified non-coding RNA (224 nucleotides) under Glomeraceae sp. Its description in RNAcentral is "partial contains 5.8S ribosomal RNA and internal transcribed spacer 2". The stretch from base 1 to 65 matches the Rfam family "5.8S ribosomal RNA", at positions 84 to 154 of the family's 154-position model. The record is from RNAcentral. Lineage: Eukaryota; Fungi; Glomeromycota; Glomeromycetes; Glomerales; Glomeraceae.
GUGAAUCAUCAAAUCUUUGAACGCAACUUGCACUCCUUUGGGUGAGUAUGCCUGUUUGAGGGUCAGUCUAAAGAAAAUCGAUCUAGUUGUUGCUACGUGGUAACAUUCGUCGGGAAUUGGGUCAUCUUAAACCUUUGGGUCUCAGUGGCUUAACAUUUUCUUUACGACUCUAAGAACGCUCAUAAGAUUUUAUUUUCUUAUAAGUUUAAGGUAUCGAUCUUUUU